Gallus gallus (chicken) is the source of this 1677-nucleotide long non-coding RNA. The record is from Ensembl. NCBI's taxonomy places the organism in Eukaryota, Metazoa, Chordata, Aves, Galliformes, Phasianidae.
ACUGGUAUCCUGCAGUGCAUCAGGAAGAAUGUGGCCAGCACGGUGAGAGAUGCUAUCCUCUCCCUCUACUCAGCCCUGGUGAGACCACAUCUGGAAGACAGUGUCCAGUUCUGGGCUCCUGAGUUCAAGAAAGACAGAACUUCUAGAGAGAGAACACUGAAGGACUACUGAGAUGAUGAAGGAACUGAAGCAUCUCUCAUAUAUUGAGAAAGAGAAGGCUCUGGGUGGAUCUAAUCAAUGUGUCUAAGUAUCUGAAAAGAGGGCGUUAAGAGGAUGUUGUCAAGAGGAUGAGUCCAGGCUUUUGUCAGUGGUGCCCAAGAAUAAGAAAAGAGGCAAUGGACGCAAAACGGAAGACAGGAAAUUCCAACUGAACACGAAGGUGACAGAACACUGGAGCAAGUUGUCCAUAAAGUUGUGGAGUCUUCUUCCUUGGGGCUAUUCAAAAGCCCUCUGGACAUGAUCAGGGGUAACAUACUUGAGAAAAAUCUACUUGAGCAGGGAGGUUGGACCUGGCAUCCCUUCCCAUCUCAACCUUUCUGUGAUUCUGUGGUUCUCUGAUUCUCAGUCUUACCGCAAAAUCAUUGCACAAUACAAAGGAAAGGUAAGAUAGCUAUAUGUAGCAAAUGGCGUCCUCAAAUUGGAAUGUUAAAACAUGAAAAAUAUAAAUAAGCAAAGCCUUUCAGAAGCUUAGUGUAUAGCCAACAAGUAUACAGAGUGGUGUGGUCAGAUUGGUAUCCACAGAUUGUAAAGCUAGAAAGAUUACUUCAUUGGAAAUGGAUAAUCAGGAACAAAUGGAAGAUGCUCACCAAUGUUGUAGGCUUGCAGGAAAAACUCCAAGAGAAUCAAUCUCCAGAAAGAGGUCUUUUCUCAGUUGGAGUCAUCCCUUAAGUGGGGUCUAGGAGAGGUGGAGCCAGGCUCCACCCCUUCCGGUCACACAGGUGAACUGCCUUCACUUGUACUCCCCUGGCUGACUCAGUGCUCACCUCAGCUGAUCAAUCAGAGCUUCAGGCCAUGAUUCAACAGUUCCCAUACACUUAGAGAUACAGCAUGUGAAAAAAGUAGGUAAUUGUCAUCCUCUUCUAAAACAGAAAGCUUGAAAGAGCAGAUAGCACUAUCAUAAGGGCUACAUCGUGAAAAGUGAGAAAAUAAAGUAAAAUUCAGGAGAGAAUUUGGGACACAAAUGGGAAAAGCAAGUGAGAAAGCUCUCCAGAGUUGAGAAAAGUUGUUGCCAUGAUAAUAGUAUGACUUGGAUUCGCUACAACAGUUGUCAAGUAUGUGCUGAUUCACUUUAGCUCAUGAAGUGCUUGGCAAGAGCCUGAUAAAGUGGAUUAUACUACUGGCACAAGAACUUGAGAAAGGCAGUCUGAAUUAUGUACUCAGAUACAUAAACACAAUGUGGUCAUUUGCCAAGGCCAGUACCAACUUGUUAUGUUUGCUCAACGCAUUUGCAACAUAGACUUUUGAUCACCCUCAGAAUUUAGACUCUUCAGUGUAAUAGAUGAGCUUUGGGGCCUGAAAAGUUGAGAGGCAUUGAGAGUUUUGUCAUCAUUGUAUAAAGAUGAUAACUAUUCUGCCAAGGCUUUCGCUAAUAUCAUUCUUGUAAAUAGCUGACACAAAACGUGUAAUUUCAAAACACAGAAAAAAACACCAACUGCAGUAAAUAAAAUGUUUCAUCCU